Molecule: long non-coding RNA, 1586 nt
Filed under: Equus caballus (horse)
Lineage: Eukaryota; Metazoa; Chordata; Mammalia; Perissodactyla; Equidae
Description: lncRNA (ENSECAG00000050250.1)
Source: RNAcentral
UAUAGGAUUGAUUACUAUAACCCUAUUGAGAUAUGCACUGUCUCGGUUACGAUGUGUCCUGUCCCUAACUUUUAACAGAUCUGCUACCCAGGCUAUUAAUGUCCUCACCAUGGACUCCGAGGCCUCCGUGUCACAGUGUGGAUGGUAGUGUAAGCCCAGACAAUCGGCUUUUUGGAUUGUGAUGCAAGUGCUUGACAAACUUUUGAUUGCCGAGGCAUCCACUUCAAAGACGGCUACAUCAAAUAAGCACAUGGCAGCCACACAACUAGAUAAAGAGGCAGGCUGCCCCCACGCGACACUGCAGGUGGGUUGAAGACCACCUCCCCACCCCGGGCUUGAGAACUCCUCUUGCGAUUGAGAGCACUAUUCUGUGGGAUUCAGAGAGGAACAGCUCCUGCCCCACAAAGCCCACAAGCCAGUUGGAGAUGGUCAAGGAGACAGAUUAGCCCUGAGCUAACAUCUGCCAAUCCUCCUCUUUUUGCUGUGGAAGGCUGGCCCUGAGCUAACGUCCGUGCCCAUCUUCCUCUACUUCAUACGUGGGAUGCCUACCACAGCACAGCUUGCUGGGCGGUGCCGUGUCCGCACCCGGGAUCUGAACUGGUGAACCCCCCACCGCCGAAGCAGAACGUGCACACUUAACCGCUGCGCUACCAGGCAGGCCCCACUCUUGAUCCCAAUGGUCAUGGUGCGAGCUCCCUAGGGGGCAGACUUUGCGAUGCAGAUUAGCAUGCAGGAUGCUUAUCAGGGAGUACUCCCGGGAUCGACAUGCUGGAAGGGAAGGAAUGGACAUAGGGUCGAACAGAGAGAGAAACUGGACUUCAACACUGUCCCAAGUCUAGGCGAAGAAACUGGGCCUUUAAACACCCCACUGACCAACCAGGGAUGUGGGCCGCCCAGAAAGGAGGCAUGACCAUGAUCAAGAUGAUUCUCUUCAGCUGAGGAAAUUCCCAGAGAGGACUGACAGCUGAGGGCUGUCUGCUGGCAACACUCCCAGCAGCUGGGGUGUAAGUCUAUCCUGGAGGGACUAAUCACAACUCGUCACGGCAUCGACUGGACUGUGCGCACAGGUGCUGGCUGACCAUCGACCAGGGAAUGGUGAACAUUCUCUUCAGAUCAAUUCAGAUGUUUCAGUUAAGCAGGAAGCAAGUUCAUCUGUGGACGGAGAGAUGAGGAGCAUGCGCUGUGCCAGACACGGUCUAACUCAGACCCGGAAUGUGGGGCAGCCUCAGCAGGGCCUAGGAAGCAGACCCUGCUCUAGGGUGGGUCUGUUUGCAAACUGGGACGCACUCCCAAUUAGUCUUGAAACUUUGUGCUUGACUAUACUUUUCGGUACAACACCUAGCUGGAAAAAAGUAUAUCUGGAACAACUGGGGCAUGUAAAUCGACUUUUUCAACUGUAAUUUUUAUGAAGUUUAAACACAGAUCAAGUAUUCCUGAUAAAAAUGUCGCAUCCUGAUUGAGAUGUGCUGUAAGUGCAAAUUGCUAGAUUUCAAUGACUUAGUACGAGAAAAAGAAUGUAAAAUAUACCCUGAAGAAUUUUAAAACAUUGAUUACAUGUUGAAAUGAUAGUAUUUGGAUGUAUUGGG